This 1137-nucleotide long non-coding RNA is filed under the name Phasianus colchicus (ring-necked pheasant). RNAcentral's name for it is "lncRNA (ENSPCLG00000012349.1)". The record is from RNAcentral. Lineage: Eukaryota; Metazoa; Chordata; Aves; Galliformes; Phasianidae.
AUGAUGGCGAUGGUGGUCAUGGUGGCAUCAGUGGUGGCCAUGAUGGUAUCAAUGAUGGCAGUGGUGUCAAUGGUGGUCAUGGUAGUGUCAGUGUUGAUGGUGUUGGUGUCAAUGUUGGCAGCGGUGGUGUUGAUGGUGGCACCAUUGAUUGCAACGGUGGUGUUGAUGGUGGCAGUGUUGUUGAUGAUGGUGGUGGUGGUGGUGGUGUCAGUGAUGGUGGUGGUGAUGAUGAUGAUGGCAGGGGUGGUUGUGGUGGUGUCAUUGAUGGCAAUGGUGGUGUCAAUGAUGGUGAUGGUGGUCAUGGUGGCAUCAGCGAUGGCAGUGGUGGUCAUGGUGGUGUCAGUAUUGGUGGUGUUGGUGUCAAUGAUGGCAACAAUGGUGUCAAUGGUGGCAGUUGUUGUUGAUGGUGGUGAUGGUGUCCGUGAUGGCAGUGGUGUCAGUGAUGGUGAUGGUGGUCAUGGUGGUGUCAGUGAUGAUGGCGGUGAUGAUGAUGAUGGCAGGGGUGGUUGUGAUGGUGUCAAUGAUGGCAGUGGUGCCAAUGAUGGUGGUGGUGGUCAUGGUGGCAUUAGUGAUGGCAACUCUGGUGGUGGUGGUGGUGUCAGUGGUGGUCGUGGUGGUGUCCAUGAUGAUGGUGGUGAUGAUGUCAAUGGUGGAGGUGGUGAUGAUGAUGACUGGGGCGGUUGUGGUGGUGUCAAUGAUGGCUGUGGUGUCAGUGAUGGUGACGGUGGUCAUGGUGGUGUCAGUGAUGAUGGCGGUGGUGGUGUCAAUGAUGGCAGUGGUGGUUAUGAUGGUGUCAGUGAUGAUGGCGGUGUUGUCAGUGGAGUGGUGUUGAUGGUGAUGAUGUCAAUGGUGGCAGUGGUGGCAGUGUUGGUGAUGAUGAUGGCAGCGGGGGUUGUGGUGGUGUCGAUGAUGGUGGUGGUCAUGGUUGGUGUCAGUGAUGAUGGUGCUGGUGACGACAGUGUUGAUGGUGACGGUGUCAAUGAUGGCGGUGGUGGUGGUGUCACCUCAAUUGUAGCAAUGAUGAUGGCAGUGGUGGUGAUGGGGUCAGUGAUGGUGUCAAUGGCAGCAAUGGUGUCAGUGUGGUGUUGGUGGCCGUGGCUGUGGUGUCAGUGGUGGUGGCAGUGUUGGUGGUGGUGA